This 74-nucleotide transfer RNA is filed under the name Parcubacteria group bacterium CG1_02_58_44. RNAcentral's name for it is "tRNA-Gln". It matches the Rfam family "tRNA". From Rfam's summary of the family: Transfer RNA (tRNA) molecules are approximately 80 nucleotides in length. Their secondary structure includes four short double-helical elements and three loops (D, anti-codon, and T loops). Further hydrogen bonds mediate the characteristic L-shaped molecular structure. tRNAs have two regions of fundamental functional importance: the anti-codon, which is responsible for specific mRNA codon recognition, and the 3' end, to which the tRNAs corresponding amino acid is attached (by aminoacyl-tRNA synthetases). tRNAs cope with the degeneracy of the genetic code in two manners: having more than one tRNA (with a specific anti-codon) for a particular amino acid; and 'wobble' base-pairing, i.e. permitting non-standard base-pairing at the 3rd anti-codon position. The record is from RNAcentral. RNAcentral also lists the same sequence under 2 other names.
UGCGGGAUCGUCUAAUGGUAGGACAACAGACUCUGAAUCUGUUUAUCUAGGUUCGAAUCCUAGUCCCGCAGCCA